Molecule: ribosomal RNA, 253 nt
Filed under: uncultured bacterium
Lineage: Bacteria
Description: partial 16S ribosomal RNA
Rfam family: Bacterial small subunit ribosomal RNA
Source: RNAcentral
UACGAAGGGGGCUAGCGUUGCUCGGAAUCACUGGGCGUAAAGAGCGCGCAGGCGGUCGUUCAAGUCGAGUGUGAAAGCCCCCGGCUCAACUGGGGAGGGUCACUCGAUACUGAUCGACUUGAAGGCAGGAGAGGGAAGCGGAAUUCCCGGUGUAGUGGUGAAAUGCGUAGAUAUCGGGAGGAACACCAGUGGCGAAGGCGGCUUCCUGGCCUGUUCUUGACGCUGAGGCGCGAAAGCUAGGGGAGCAAACGGG